AAAUGAGUAAUAGUUUUGUGACGCGUGGGAUCCUCGACCGCUUUCUUCAUUCUUCGCCCCUCCGUCCUCACCCCAUCUGGCAAACCUUCAUCCCUCUUCAUCUCUUCUAUCGUUCACCGCUUCACCACAGAAAAACUUAAACCACAUCCCUGUCAAGUUUCAAUCACCGCUGCCACCAGUUCACCCAGACCUCAUCUCUCAGCUUUGUGAUAUGUAGACUGCUACAGAAGCUUGAUUUGUUCAAGUCGGCAAUAACUGCAGAGAGCCUGCACCAUCCCCUACAGAUUCCCCUCCAACAAUCCCCGCAAGCCCACUCCCACUGAGCUCUCCUGGAUCGACCUCUUCUACAACUCCACCCCCUCCUUCAAGAAACGAGCUGAGUCCGACGCUUCGGUUCCCGACGCUCCGGCCAGAGCUAAGAAAUUUGCUCAAAGAUACACACUUUACUGAUUGUUUUGCGAUUAGUGAAUUGGGUUUUCAUAAAUGCCUGCAAUUUUUUGUGUUUUUGCCUGAAGGGUACACUGAGAUACUGGAGGACUUGAAAAAGGAUCCUGAGAGUCACGGAGGCCCGCCGGAUUGCAUUCUUUUUUGCAGACUUCGGGAGCAAGUUCUUAGGGAGUUGGGAUUCCAAUAUAUAUUCAAGAAAGUCAAGGAUGAAGAUAAUGCCAAGGCAAUAUCCCUGUUUGAGAAUGUAUUGGAUCUUAAUGAUGCUAUUGAAGAUGAAGUCAAGUGGGUAGAGCAUCUGAUUAUAGGAAUAUUUGCCGAAAAUAUAAUUUGUAUCAAACUCGCCAUUUCAUAAGACUCAACCUCAGAGCUCUAUGAAAAAGAACAAAACUGGUUCUAAAAUCCUACGUUCCUUAUUUUUGGUUUUUGGGAUGGUUGUGCUUUUGUGUAAAGCUGGAUCUAUAGUGUGUUGGUCUCUGUUAUCAUCGGCGAUCCCACAAUUGGGACUGUUGUCAUACAAGUUGAAUUGAACUCAGGCUAGAAUGUCGUCGUUUUCUGAAGCCCUCUGUACUCAAGCUAAGUUCCAUUGCGUACUCGGAUGAGUUGGUUUGUUCUAAGUUUCGGAUAAAGAAUUAUUCCCAUCUGGGUAUAUAUACAUUCAACUCCAAACAUUAUAUAACUGAAGUUGAGUCUGCAACCUACCAAUGAGGUCAAGCACUGUAGUACUGGGUCUUGUGGCAAUGCUUCUGGUAGCAUGGCCUGCAGCACGAGUAGUCCAUGGCGAUCAAGGUCAAGAUGCCGCAGGCCUGACAUGUGCCGUGCUCUGCUUUGAACGCUGGUACUCAUGCGUCACUGCUUGUUUGGGACACGGUGGCAGCGGGGCGGAUGUUAAUGACUGCAACGGUACGAACACUAAGUGCGACGAGCAAUGCCAUCGAUCACCUCUUCUACCACCACCUCCACCACGAUCGAUGCAGCCACAGCCACCUAAAUUACCAUAAGCUAGCCUGGAUUUGAUCAACUUCACACACACACACAUAUAUAUAUAUAUAUAUGCGAGUGUGGAGCCUAGUGGUCUCAAUUAUGUCUACACCAAUAAAAGAAAAGGAUUUUUACUUUAUAUAAUUAAGCUUUGAUCAAAUAAACAACUUAAUUGCAACAUAUUCUGUGUAUUUAUUUGUUUAUGACUAUUGUUAUUUGGAACACAUUUGCACCAGGAAAAAAAUUUCCUUUAAUUUAAUACCAUGUUACAUUACAGGACCAACUCACAGAAAGGGAACUUACAGAACUCGAUCAUUAUCUUUGCCUGUCAUAUAUAUUAUAUUAAAAAUAACUGACCCUUGGUCCCGAAGCUUUUGGCUCACCAUCAAUCAGUAUUAUCUGCAUGACCUUUUCUUUCUCCUUUUGUGAAACCAUUUUCUUUAUAUAUAAUCUCCCGGUAACAAAUGCGCCACAAUCACAUUAUGUUGAAAAGAACCUAUACUCACAAGUCACAACAAGGUACACAUACACCCCUUUUAAAGUUUACGGCUAUAAGUAAUAGUUUUGGCAAUGAGGUCCAGUGUGCUUCCUGUACUUGUAACACUGCUCUUGCUAACAUGGCCUGCAACACAAGUCGUCCACGGCCAAGAUUCAUGUUCCGCUGCCUGCUACAACGGAGUGAUGUCAUGCGUGGUUGGGUGUACCAACAAUGGGAGCCAACUACCAGAUCCUUCAUGUCCGGAUGAAUGCACCGAAGAUUACGACAGCUGCAUGGAAAUCUGCAUGCCCGACCCUGAGAAAUUAUCAGCCCCUAUACGGCCAUGAUUACUGCAGCCAGCAGACAGAGCUUUGCUAAAUUAUAUUAUAUAUAUAUAGAGAGAGAGAGAGAGACACACACACACAUAUACACGUCAAAUAAAACGAAGCUUGAAUGUUAACAGCUUUUGAUGAAUGAAGAAAACUUACUGCUAACCGCAGUCAAA
Malus domestica (apple) is the source of this 2408-nucleotide non-coding RNA. NCBI's taxonomy places the organism in Eukaryota, Viridiplantae, Streptophyta, Magnoliopsida, Rosales, Rosaceae. The record is from RefSeq and is a predicted model, not a curated record.